Molecule: ribosomal RNA, 497 nt
Filed under: uncultured bacterium
Lineage: Bacteria
Description: partial 16S ribosomal RNA
Rfam family: Bacterial small subunit ribosomal RNA
Source: RNAcentral
GAUGAACGCUGGCGGCGUGCCUAUUACAUGCAAGUCGAGCGAACGGACGAGAAGCUUGCUUCUCUGAUGUUAGCGGCGGACGGGUGAGUAACACGUGGAUAACCUACCUAUAAGACUGGGAUAACUUCGGGAAACCGUAGCUAAUACCGGAUAAUAUUUUGAACCGCAUGGUUCAAAAGUGAAAGACGGUCUUGCUGUCACUUAUAGAUGGAUCCGCGCUGCAUUAGCUAGUUGGUAAGGUAACGGCUUACCAAGGCAACGAUGCAUAGCCGACCUGAGAGGGUGAUCGGCCACACUGGAACUGAGACACGGUCCAGACUCCUACGGGAGGCAGCAGUAGGGAAUCUUCCGCAAUGGGCGAAAGCCUGACGGAGCAACGCCGCGUGAGUGAUGAGGGUCUUCGGAUCGUAAAACUCUGUUAUUAGGGAAGAACAUAUGUGUAAGUAACUGUGCACAUCUUGACGGUACCUAAUCAGAAAGCCACGGCUAACUACGUG